This 253-nucleotide ribosomal RNA is filed under the name uncultured bacterium. RNAcentral describes it as "partial 16S ribosomal RNA". It matches the Rfam family "Bacterial small subunit ribosomal RNA", at positions 524 to 776 of the family's 1533-position model. The record is from RNAcentral.
UACGUAGGGUGCGAGCGUUAAUCGGAAUUACUGGGCGUAAAGCGCACGUAGGCGGACUAUUAAGUCAGGGGUGAAAUCCCGGGGCUCAACCCCGGAACUGCCUUUGAUACUGGUAGUCUCGAGUCCGGAAGAGGUGAGUGGAAUUCCGAGUGUAGUGGUGAAAUGCGUAGAGAUCGGCAGGAACACCCAGGGGGAAACCAGCCGACUGGGCAUCUGCUGACGCUGAGGUGCGAGAGCGUGGGGAGCGAACCGG